This 433-nucleotide ribosomal RNA is filed under the name uncultured bacterium. RNAcentral's name for it is "partial 16S ribosomal RNA". It matches the Rfam family "Bacterial small subunit ribosomal RNA", at positions 29 to 507 of the family's 1533-position model. The record is from RNAcentral.
AACGAACGCUGGCGGCAUGCCUAACACAUGCAAGUCGAACGAGACCUUCGGGUCUAGUGGCGCACGGGUGCGUAACGCGUGGGAACCUGCCCUUAGGUUCGGAAUAACUCCCCGAAAGGGGUGCUAAUACCGGAUAAUGUCUUCGGACCAAAGAUUUAUCGCCUUUGGAUGGGCCCGCGUUGGAUUAGCUAGUUGGUAGGGUAAAAGCCUACCAAGGCGACGAUCCAUAGCUGGUCUGAGAGGAUGAUCAGCCACACUGGGACUGAGACACGGCCCAGACUCCUACGGGAGGCAGCAGUGGAGGAUAUUGGACAAUGGGCGAAAGCCUGAUCCAGCAAUGCCGCGUGAGUGAUGAAGUCCUUAGAGUUGUAAAGCUCUUUUACCCGGGAUGAUAAUGACAGUACCGGGAGAAUAAGCCCCGGCUAACUCCGUG